Molecule: long non-coding RNA, 840 nt
Organism: Brassica napus (rape)
Lineage: Eukaryota; Viridiplantae; Streptophyta; Magnoliopsida; Brassicales; Brassicaceae
Exons: 4
Source: RefSeq, a predicted model, not a curated record
UUUCACCUGAAAAAAAAAAGAAGCUUUGUAAAGCCCAUCUGAAAAAAGAGCAAGUCGCGUGUUUUCUGUUUCAAGGGUUGAACCCUUAUUCUUCUCUGCCGUCGUGAUGUAGUCUCAAACUCUAGGGUUUCGAUUCAUCUUCUUACUCCAACCCCGUUUUUUACCAGUUUCAGAUUCAUCUUCUUAAAGUCCUUCUUAAUUUUAUUAUCCACGAUCUACAUUUAUUGUUUGCUUCACUCUUGCAAAACGGUGGAAACCUCAGUAUAUAAAGAUUAGCAUCCGUAUUCUCGAGAUCAUCCUACCAAUCUAUUCAAACAGAUAAAUCCAUGUAGAUUCUGGAAAAUGGCUAUCGCUCAAGUUUUUCUUUCUGACUCGAAGUCUGGAAGAUGUUCUUCCUCAAGUGAGAUGAGGUUGUUUCGUUUCUAUGAGGCAAAGAAUAUUGGGAGGCGAGCCUAUGGGCGUCUACAUACUCCACCUCGGCGUUAAGAUUCCAAUGAUUUGUAUGGUGCAUCAUGAGGAUCUGAUAAGUUUAAACAUUCUGUGUCAAUAAAAUCAGCCAGAGAAUUGUUGCCCUUGGUCGUUCUGCUUCUGAUUUCAAUCUGUCAUGCCAUCUUUGAAGUCUCCAAGUUUGUCUGUUUCAUGGUGAAGCUCGACAUCUUUUUACAGAUAUGCCAAAGGGAGAGUUGAAAAAGUAUCAUCUCUCUCCUGAAUCCCUCUUUUAUUCUCCUAUUUUGCUUUUGUGAAAACAACAGUGAAAGACUUACAUUGUAUACAUAUAUACCUCUCUUGGCUUUCCCGUACCUUUUUAUAACUGUUUCAAAAUGAUUCUUUUGGUUAUUA